AGCGAACGCUGGCGGCAGGCCUAACACAUGCAAGUCGAACGAACCUUUCGGGGUUAGUGGCGGACGGGUGUGUAACACGUGGGAACGUGCCUUUAGGUUCGGAAUAACUCAGGGAAACUUGUGCUAAUACCGAAUGUGCCCUUCGGGGGAAAGAUUAAUCGCCUUUAGAGCGGCCCGCGUCUGAUUAGCUAGUUGGUUGAGGUAAUGGCUCACCAAGGCGACGAUCAGUAGCUGGUCUGAGAGGAUGAUCAGCCACAUUGGGACUGGGACACGGCCCAAACUCCUACGGGAGGCAGCAGUGGGGAAUCUUGCGCAAUGGGCGAAAGCCUGACGCAGCCAUGCCGCGUGAAUGAUGAAGGUCUUAGGAUUGUAAAAUUCUUUCACCGGGGACGAUAAUGACGGUACCCGGAGAAGAAGCCCCGGCUAACUUCGUG
RNAcentral lists this ribosomal RNA (434 nucleotides) under uncultured bacterium. RNAcentral's name for it is "partial 16S ribosomal RNA". It matches the Rfam family "Bacterial small subunit ribosomal RNA", at positions 29 to 507 of the family's 1533-position model. The record is from RNAcentral.